This 440-nucleotide ribosomal RNA is filed under the name uncultured bacterium. Its description in RNAcentral is "partial 16S ribosomal RNA". It matches the Rfam family "Bacterial small subunit ribosomal RNA", at positions 338 to 795 of the family's 1533-position model. The record is from RNAcentral.
CCUACGGGUGGCUGCAGUGGGGAAUAUUGCACAAUGGGGGAAACUCUGAUGCAGCGACGUCGCGUGAGUGAAGACGUAUUUCGGUAUGUAAAGCUCUGUCAGCAGGGGAGAAAAUGACGGUACCUGACCAAGAAGCUCCGGCUAACUACGUGCCAGCAGCCGCGGUAAUACGUAGGGGGCCAGCGUUAUCCGGAUUUACUGGGGGUAAAGGGAGCGUAGACGGCAGGGCAAGUCCGGAGUGAAAGGCGGGGGCUCAACCCCCGGACUGCUCUGGAAACUGGCAGGCUGGAGUGCAGGAGAGGUAAGUGGAAUUCCUAGUGUAGCGGUGAAAUGCGUAGAUAUUAGGAGGAACACCAGUGGCGAAGGCAGCUUACUGGACUGUAACUGACGUUGAGGCUCGAAAGCGUGGGGAGCAAACAGGAUUAGAUACCCUUGUAGUC